GAACGGGUGAGUAACACGUGAGUAACCUGCCCUUAACUCUGGGAUAAGCCUGGGAAACUGGGUCUAAUACCGGAUAUGACUCCUCAUCGCAUGGUGGGGGGUGGAAAGCUUUAUUGUGGUUUUGGAUGGACUCGCGGCCUAUCAGCUUGUUGGUGAGGUAAUGGCUCACCAAGGCGACGACGGGUAGCCGGCCUGAGAGGGUGACCGGCCACACUGGGACUGAGACACGGCCCAGACUCCUACGGGAGGCAGCAGUGGGGAAUAUUGCACAAUGGGCGAAAGCCUGAUGCAGCGACGCCGCGUGAGGGAUGACGGCCUUCGGGUUGUAAACCUCUUUCAGUAGGGAAGAAGCGAAAGUGACGGUACCUGCAGAAGAAGCGCCGGCUAACUACGUGCCAGCAGCCGCGGUAAUACGUAGGGCGCAAGCGUUAUCCGGAAUUAUUGGGCGUAAAGAGCUCGUAGGCGGUUUGUCGCGUCUGCCGUGAAAGUCCGGGGCUCAACUCCGGAUCUGCGGUGGGUACGGGCAGACUAGAGUGAUGUAGGGGAGACUGGAAUUCCUGGUGUAGCGGUGAAAUGCGCAGAUAUCAGGAGGAACACCGAUGGCGAAGGCAGGUCUCUGGGCAUUAACUGACGCUGAGGAGCGAAAGCAUGGGGAGCGAACAGGAUUAGAUACCCUGGUAGUCCAUGCCGUAAACGUUGGGCACUAGGUGUGGGGGACAUUCCACGUUUUCCGCGCCGUAGCUAACGCAUUAAGUGCCCCGCCUGGGGAGUACGGCCGCAAGGCUAAAACUCAAAGGAAU
This 800-nucleotide ribosomal RNA is filed under the name Arthrobacter sp. Its description in RNAcentral is "bacterial SSU rRNA". It matches the Rfam family "Bacterial small subunit ribosomal RNA", at positions 100 to 910 of the family's 1533-position model. Lineage: Bacteria; Bacillati; Actinomycetota; Actinomycetes; Micrococcales; Micrococcaceae. The record is from RNAcentral.